Haliotis rubra (blacklip abalone) is the source of this 699-nucleotide long non-coding RNA. RefSeq lists it as uncharacterized. NCBI's taxonomy places the organism in Eukaryota, Metazoa, Mollusca, Gastropoda, Lepetellida, Haliotidae. The record is from RefSeq and is a predicted model, not a curated record. The transcript is spliced from 3 exons.
UUAAAUCAGCUAACGGUCCGUUCUGUGGUGUGCAAUCCUCUGUUGUAUAUGUGACCUGGUAACUUGUAUUAGUUGCAGGUGAAGCAGGGCGUGAAGUCAUCCCACAUAAGACACCAUAACCUUAUCAGUAUACUGACUGGGUUAAUCUCUGUAUGAAUCAUUCGUUUUAACUGCCCUUAUAUAUUUCAACGUUUAACUAAAUGGCGUUCUGUUGUUAAUAUCAUCUGGUUGAUUUAUAUUUGCUUUCGUCCGAUGUAUCCAAGAGAACCAGAAAAUAUAAUUGUCUGAGAGAUUCAUAGUUUCAUAAAUUAGACGGUCCGUUGAUUUCCGUGGUGUGUUAGAUAUAUAUUCAGUGUAUCCAAAAUCUACUUUCGUUGCUAUGCCAAUUGUCCUCCGAAAAUACUACAUUGGAGCACUUCAGUCAAUAGGACUCUCAAUGUCAAUUGUUGUGGUACCUUUAACACAAGUAUGACUUGAUAUACAUUAUGAUUCAACACAGUUAGCUCUAUUUUAAGACAAAUAAGACAAACAUAUUCCUGUGGGAUGUUUUUGACGGAAGUUCUUGACGUCAUUAUACGCAAUCUGAUUGGUUGAUCGGGUGUUUUUGCACACUACCUUUAUCAGUAAGGGGCGAACCUUCUUGCGGGUAACAGAAAGGGGCGAGUAUUGAAGAGUGAAUGUAUGUUAAUUCAGUCCAUG